CAGUCGCCGCGGGAAUACGUAGGGUGCAAGCGUUAAUCGGAAUUACUGGGCGUAAGGCGUGCGCAGGCGGUUUGUUAAGACAGAUGUGAAAUCCCCGGGCUCAACCUGGGAACUGCAUUUGUGACUGGCAAGCUAGAGUCUGGCAGAGGGGGGUGGAAUUCCGCGUGUAGCAGUGAAAUGCGUAGAUAUGCGGAGGAACACCGAUGGCGAAGGCAGCCCCCUGGGCCAACACUGACGCUCAUGCACGAAAGCGUGGGGAGCAAACAGGAUUAGAUACCCCAGUAGUCCCUGUCUCUUAUAC
RNAcentral lists this ribosomal RNA (301 nucleotides) under uncultured bacterium. RNAcentral's name for it is "partial 16S ribosomal RNA". It matches the Rfam family "Bacterial small subunit ribosomal RNA", at positions 509 to 807 of the family's 1533-position model. The record is from RNAcentral.